RNAcentral lists this transfer RNA (78 nucleotides) under Candidatus Omnitrophota bacterium. RNAcentral describes it as "tRNA-Pro". It matches the Rfam family "tRNA". Rfam says of the family: Transfer RNA (tRNA) molecules are approximately 80 nucleotides in length. Their secondary structure includes four short double-helical elements and three loops (D, anti-codon, and T loops). The record is from RNAcentral. Lineage: Bacteria; Pseudomonadati; Candidatus Omnitrophota.
CGGGGCGUGGCGCAGUUGGCUAGCGCACCUGAAUGGGGUUCAGGGGGUUCGCUGGUUCGAAUCCAGCCGUCCCGACCA